This is a long non-coding RNA of Bos taurus (domestic cattle), 523 nucleotides long. NCBI's taxonomy places the organism in Eukaryota, Metazoa, Chordata, Mammalia, Artiodactyla, Bovidae. The record is from Ensembl.
GUUUAGAGCAGAAACUGCUGACAGAGUGAAUUGAAUGAAACAAAAGAUGCCCAAUUACAAGACAGUGUGAGUGUGUAUGAGGGUACAUACAGGACCACAGGCAGCAAACACACAAUACGUCAGAACCCCAUGUCUGACGGUGACCAAACACCUAGAAGAGUGGCCUUACCCAUGUUUGCUUCCGUGGGGGUGUGGAAGGUUGCUGAGCUGCCCAUGAAGAGACUGGCACUUGGCUGCCUCAAAUUCCUGCCUCGACUGAAAAGCUGCCUAGCCAGAGGUGGGUUCUUUACUGACUGAGCCACCAGGGAUGUCCAUGACUUCUUUUGAUAAAGCUCCUCCUCUUCAGGGUGUGUGGGGGCCAGCUGAAACUGUGAUCAUCUUGUAAACUCUCGGGGCUGCAAAUGUCUCUUCCUAACACACCCUGGGGUCUUCCCCACGAAGUGCAGAAAGCCAGAAGCUACUUUUCGUCAUCAUCCAGGCCCUCAUUCCUCCUUUUGGAUUUAGUUAAGUCAGCCUCUUUAGU